GGUUUGAGAGGGUAGUUUAGGUAAUAAAUUUGGGUUUAAAGAGAUAUUAAUUAUUUAAUAAAAAAUAAUAUGAAUGAAUAGAAUAAGUUGGAUGUAGAAAGAAAUUACAUGAAUUCAAUAAAAUUCCCCUUAAAUAAUUUAAAAGCAUGUAUUCAUGCUCCAACAACCAAGCAUGUACUCAUGCUCCAACAACCAAGCUUUUCAUUUACCAAUGUCGCCUUUACCGUUCUUCAAGGUGGGCUGGAUCCCUAAGGUACAACUACAUACAAGCUGGGCAGACAAGACGGUUCAAACAGUAUAACAUAAGAAGGAAACAAAGUUUGCAACAAUUACAGACUGAAAUUAAGGGUUUUCGGCGACAACAGAAAACUAAAGAAAAAGGUCUGAGAUCGUGGCUUGAAAUGAUUCACAUGGAGAGUCGAAAACUUCUCUAAGUUGAAGAGCAAGAAACAUUCCUUUGACGUUUUCAUCAUUGGUGGUUUUAAAUAGUACGUAUUUGAGUUAUCUUCUAUAUAGAUACGUGACUUUAAAUUUUGUUUUUCUGCUUUGUAUUAUUAUUUUUGGAUUACAUAAAUUUGGUUUGAUUUGAUCAGGCAGAUCCUCUUAUAUCCAAAGGGUCACAACAGAACAGAGAUGCCAGCCUGCCAAUAUUUUUGGUUGUUGCAGAUGCUUCAACAUUGCCAUCUAGGUGGAGUAGAUGUGCACGAUUCAAGUUCACUGUGGUUAAUCAACUUGACAGAAAUAAGUCAACAACACUAGAAAAGCUGAGAUGCUGCAACAAUAUUCUUUUCUUCCUAACAAUCAGUUUGGUUAUUGAACCAUGGUUUUCUUGAAACUCGUAAUGAGAAAGAGUUCAAGGCAGGAGUGAGUUCGUUGGGAUACAGAUCGUUUAUGCCUUUGAGUAAGCUCCAUGAUCGCAGUGCAGGCUAUCUUGUGAAUGAUACAUGUAUAAUUGAAGUAAAGGUUAAAAUCCUUGAAGCUGAAAGUGAGGAGGAUGAUGAAUACGAUGAAGGAUCAUCUGAUUUUUCUACAAGUACGAAGAAUUCAUCAAAUACAGAUUCUGUGCAAGUUGGAGACUCUUCAGUAUCACCCAGCUGCUUCCCUCCCAUGAUAAACCAAGUUCUCUAAAAGAUUGCACUAACACUAGCAUUGAUAGUCCUGCUGGCCCUACUUUAGUCAAGGAACAUGAGAAAGAAAAACUACCCUAUGCUUUUCCAGCUAGCGAGCUCGUUGAUUUCAAGGGUUUAGGUUGGAUAGAGAAAGCUUUUGUCCCACAACUAGAGGAAGUUUGUUCAUGGCAUCCUUCACUGAUCAAGUGCCAACAAAAGAGGAGUUGUAAGUUCACUGAAUGUGCAUUCACAGCUUUGGGAAGAGUCCUGCAUUUUUUAAAGACUACAAAAGGUAAGGAUAUGACGUGUUAGGACUCUAACGAGAACCUUCGGCUUUUAUGGGAAGAGCUAGAGAUUUUCAGAUUUGACUUGGCAUCGUUAGAGCCAUAUGUUCAAUCCGCUUUGUGUAUGAAGAAAUUUGGGGAAAUGGCAGGGCGAGUGAUUGAGAGGAGAGGUGGAUGCUUUGGAGACCGAACUGAAAAGACAAAGGACUGAGCUAGUUGAUGCAGAGGUAGAUCUUGAUCGGGUAGCAGAAAAAUAUGGACAAUGAGUUAGGUUAUGGACGGCAUUAGCCUAAUAGUUGGUUCUUGGUUAUACAUUUUCGGUCAGAGGAAUGCGGUGGGCAACGUGACCAAACUUUGACUGGCUCGUUUUUGCUAAGCCUAACAACGUUUUUGCGCCGUUUUCGCAAAGCCUAUCUAUUUGACUCGGUUUGACUCGGUUUCUGCAUGAUUAUAUUUUUACCAUCAAAUGCUUUAAAUGGUAGUUUAAUACUGCCUUGUUGAAUGAUGAAUUUUAUUUCGAUCUAUUGGUGGGUUCUGAUCGUAUUGUAUGAGACCCUAAAAAUUUGUGUCAGAACGUUGUUGCAAGAUUGAAAAUUGUAUGAAAAUUAUGUCUGCAAGAUUAUAAUCAA
This is a long non-coding RNA of Pyrus x bretschneideri (Chinese white pear), 2022 nucleotides long. RefSeq lists it as uncharacterized. The transcript is spliced from 4 exons. The record is from RefSeq and is a predicted model, not a curated record. Lineage: Eukaryota; Viridiplantae; Streptophyta; Magnoliopsida; Rosales; Rosaceae.